GACGAACGCUGGCGGCGUGCUUAACACAUGCAAGUCGAACGGAAAGGCCUCUUUCGGGGGGUACUCGAGUGGCGAACGGGUGAGUAACACGUGAGUAACCUGCCCUUGACUUUGGGAUAACUUCAGGAAACUGGGGCUAAUACCGGAUAGGAGCUCCUGCUGCAUGGAGGGGGUUGGAAAGUUUCGGCGGUUGGGGAUGGACUCGCGGCGUAUCAGCUUGUUGGUGGGGUAGUGGCUUACCAAGGCUUUGACGGGUAGCCGGCCUGAGAGGGUGACCGGCGACAUUGGGACUGAGAUGCGGCCCAGACGCCGACGGGAGGCAGCAGUGGGGAAUAUUGCACAAUGGGUGGAAGCCGGAUGCAGCAACGCCGUGGGCGGGAUGACGGCCUUCGGGUUGUAAACCGCUUUCGCUCAUGACGAAGCUUUGUGUGACGGUAGUGGGUAAAGAAGCACCGGCUAACUACGUG
This 467-nucleotide ribosomal RNA is filed under the name uncultured bacterium. Its description in RNAcentral is "partial 16S ribosomal RNA". It matches the Rfam family "Bacterial small subunit ribosomal RNA", at positions 28 to 507 of the family's 1533-position model. The record is from RNAcentral.